AUUGAACGCUGGCGGCAGGCCUAACACAUGCAAGUCGAACGAGUGGCGGACGGGUGUGAUAUGUCUGGGAAACUGCCUGAUGGGGGGGGAUAACUAGUGGAAAAGGUAGCUAAUACCGCAUAACAUCGGAUUGCCCUAGAUGGGAUUAGCUAGUAGGUGGGGUAAAGGCUCAUCUAGGCGACGAUCCCUAGCUGGUCUGAGAGGAUGACCGGCCACACUGGAACUGAGACACGGUCCAGACUCCUACGGGAGGCAGCAGUGGGGAAUAUUGCACAAUGGGCGCAAGCCUGAUGCAGCCAUGCCGCGUGUAUGAAGAAGGCCUUCGGGUUGUAAAGUACUUUCAGCGGGGAGGCGUUACCCGCAGAAGAAGCACCGGCUAACUCCGUGCCAGCAGCCGCGGUAAUAC
This 406-nucleotide ribosomal RNA is filed under the name uncultured bacterium. RNAcentral describes it as "partial 16S ribosomal RNA". It matches the Rfam family "Bacterial small subunit ribosomal RNA", at positions 30 to 526 of the family's 1533-position model. The record is from RNAcentral.